This 2906-nucleotide ribosomal RNA is filed under the name Klebsiella michiganensis. RNAcentral's name for it is "23S ribosomal RNA". It matches the Rfam family "Bacterial large subunit ribosomal RNA". The record is from RNAcentral. Lineage: Bacteria; Pseudomonadati; Pseudomonadota; Gammaproteobacteria; Enterobacterales; Enterobacteriaceae.
GGUUAAGCGACUAAGCGUACACGGUGGAUGCCCUGGCAGUCAGAGGCGAUGAAGGACGUGCUAAUCUGCGAAAAGCGUCGGUAAGGUGAUAUGAACCGUUAUAGCCGGCGAUGUCCGAAUGGGGAAACCCAGUGCAAUUCGUUGCACUAUCGUUAACUGAAUACAUAGGUUAACGAGGCGAACCGGGGGAACUGAAACAUCUAAGUACCCCGAGGAAAAGAAAUCAACCGAGAUUCCCCCAGUAGCGGCGAGCGAACGGGGAGCAGCCCGGAGUCUGAAUCAGCUUGUGUGUUAGUGGAAGCGUCUGGAAAGUCGCAGGGUACAGGGUGAUACUCCCGUACACUAAAACGCACAGGUUGUGAACUCGAAGAGUAGGGCGGGACACGUGGUAUCCUGUCUGAAUAUGGGGGGACCAUCCUCCAAGGCUAAAUACUCCUGACUGACCGAUAGUGAACCAGUACCGUGAGGGAAAGGCGAAAAGAACCCCGGCGAGGGGAGUGAAAAAGAACCUGAAACCGUGUACGUACAAGCAGUAGGAGCCCACUAGUUGGGUGACUGCGUACCUUUUGUAUAAUGGGUCAGCGACUUAUAUUCUGUAGCAAGGUUAACCGUAUAGGGGAGCCGCAGGGAAACCGAGUCUUAACUGGGCGUUAAGUUGCAGGGUAUAGACCCGAAACCCGGUGAUCUAGCCAUGGGCAGGUUGAAGGUUGGGUAACACUAACUGGAGGACCGAACCGACUAAUGUUGAAAAAUUAGCGGAUGACUUGUGGCUGGGGGUGAAAGGCCAAUCAAACCGGGAGAUAGCUGGUUCUCCCCGAAAGCUAUUUAGGUAGCGCCUCGUGAAUUCAUCUUCGGGGGUAGAGCACUGUUUCGGCUAGGGGGUCAUCCCGACUUACCAACCCGAUGCAAACUACGAAUACCGAAGAAUGUUAUCACGGGAGACACACGGCGGGUGCUAACGUCCGUCGUGAAGAGGGAAACAACCCAGACCGCCAGCUAAGGUCCCAAAGUCAUGGUUAAGUGGGAAACGAUGUGGGAAGGCCCAGACAGCCAGGAUGUUGGCUUAGAAGCAGCCAUCAUUUAAAGAAAGCGUAAUAGCUCACUGGUCGAGUCGGCCUGCGCGGAAGAUGUAACGGGGCUAAACCAUGCACCGAAGCUGCGGCAGCGACACUAUGUGUUGUUGGGUAGGGGAGCGUUCUGUAAGCCGUUGAAGGUGGCCUGUGAGGGUUGCUGGAGGUAUCAGAAGUGCGAAUGCUGACAUAAGUAACGAUAAUGCGGGUGAAAAACCCGCACGCCGGAAGACCAAGGGUUCCUGUCCAACGUUAAUCGGGGCAGGGUGAGUCGACCCCUAAGGCGAGGCCGAAAGGCGUAGUCGAUGGGAAACAGGUUAAUAUUCCUGUACUCGGUGUUACUGCGAAGGGGGGACGGAGAAGGCUAUGUUGGCCGGGCGACGGUUGUCCCGGUUUAAGCAUGUAGGCGGAUGUUCCAGGUAAAUCCGGAACGUCACUAACGCUGAGGUGUGAUGACGAGGCACUACGGUGCUGAAGUGACAAAUGCCCUGCUUCCAGGAAAAGCCUCUAAGCAUCAGGUAACAUCAAAUCGUACCCCAAACCGACACAGGUGGUCAGGUAGAGAAUACCAAGGCGCUUGAGAGAACUCGGGUGAAGGAACUAGGCAAAAUGGUGCCGUAACUUCGGGAGAAGGCACGCUGAUGGUAGGUGAAGUGACUUGCUCAUGGAGCUGAAAUCAGUCGAAGAUACCAGCUGGCUGCAACUGUUUAUUAAAAACACAGCACUGUGCAAACACGAAAGUGGACGUAUACGGUGUGACGCCUGCCCGGUGCCGGAAGGUUAAUUGAUGGGGUUAUCCGUAAGGAGAAGCUCUUGAUCGAAGCCCCGGUAAACGGCGGCCGUAACUAUAACGGUCCUAAGGUAGCGAAAUUCCUUGUCGGGUAAGUUCCGACCUGCACGAAUGGCGUAAUGAUGGCCAGGCUGUCUCCACCCGAGACUCAGUGAAAUUGAACUCGCUGUGAAGAUGCAGUGUACCCGCGGCAAGACGGAAAGACCCCGUGAACCUUUACUAUAGCUUGACACUGAACACUGGUCCUUGAUGUGUAGGAUAGGUGGGAGGCUUUGAAGUGUGGACGCCAGUCUGCAUGGAGCCAUCCUUGAAAUACCACCCUUUAAUGGCUGGUGUUCUAACGUGGGCCCCUGAUCGGGGUUGCGGACAGUGUCUGGUGGGUAGUUUGACUGGGGCGGUCUCCUCCUAAAGAGUAACGGAGGAGCACGAAGGUCAGCUAAUCCUGGUCGGACAUCAGGAGGUUAGUGCAAUGGCAUAAGCUGGCUUGACUGCGAGCGUGACGGCGCGAGCAGGUGCGAAAGCAGGUCAUAGUGAUCCGGUGGUUCUGAAUGGAAGGGCCAUCGCUCAACGGAUAAAAGGUACUCCGGGGAUAACAGGCUGAUACCGCCCAAGAGUUCAUAUCGACGGCGGUGUUUGGCACCUCGAUGUCGGCUCAUCACAUCCUGGGGCUGAAGUAGGUCCCAAGGGUAUGGCUGUUCGCCAUUUAAAGUGGUACGCGAGCUGGGUUUAGAACGUCGUGAGACAGUUCGGUCCCUAUCUGCCGUGGGCGCUGGAGAAUUGAGGGGGGCUGCUCCUAGUACGAGAGGACCGGAGUGGACGCAUCACUGGUGUUCGGGUUGUCAUGCCAAUGGCAUUGCCCGGUAGCUAAAUGCGGAAGAGAUAAGUGCUGAAAGCAUCUAAGCACGAAACUUGCCCCGAGAUGAGUUCUCCCUGACCCUUUAAGGGUCCUGAAGGAACGUUGAAGACGACGACGUUGAUAGGCCGGGUGUGUAAGCGCAGCGAUGCGUUGAGCUAACCGGUACUAAUGAACCGUGAGGCUUAACCUU